GACGAACCGUGCGAACGUUGUUCGGAUUCACUGGGCUUAAAGGGUGCGUAGGCGGGUGAUCAAGUCCGGGGUGAAAUCCUCCAGCUCAACUGGAGAAUAGCCCUGGAUACUGGUCGUCUUGAGGAAGGUAGGGGCAUGUGGAACUUCCGGUGGAGCGGUGAAAUGCGUAGAUAUCGGAAGGAACGCCGGUGGCGAAAGCGACGUGCUGGACCUUUUCUGACGCUGAGGCACGAAAGCCAGGGGAGCAAACGGG
This 253-nucleotide ribosomal RNA is filed under the name uncultured bacterium. Its description in RNAcentral is "partial 16S ribosomal RNA". It matches the Rfam family "Bacterial small subunit ribosomal RNA", at positions 524 to 776 of the family's 1533-position model. The record is from RNAcentral.